CCUACGGUGGCUGCAGUGGGGAAUAUUGGGCAAUGGGCGCAAGCCUGACCCAGCAACGCCGCGUGAAGGAAGAAGGCUUUCGGGUUGUAAACUUCUUUUCUGAGGGACGAAGAAAGUGACGGUACCUCAGGAAUAAGCCACGGCUAACUACGUGCCAGCAGCCGCGGUAAUACGUAGGUGGCAAGCGUUAUCCGGAUUUAUUGGGUGUAAAGGGCGUGUAGGCGGGAAAGCAAGUCAGAUGUGAAAACUCAGGGCUUAACCCUGGGACUGCAUUUGAAACUGUUUUUCUUGAGUGCUGGAGAGGCAGUCGGAAUGUCGUGUGUAGCGGUGAAAUGCGUAGAUAUACGAAGGAACACCAGUGGCGAAGGCGGAUUGCUGGACAGUAACUGACGCUGAGGCGCGAAAGCGUGGGGAGCAAACAGGAUUAGAUACCCUAGUAGUC
RNAcentral lists this ribosomal RNA (442 nucleotides) under uncultured bacterium. RNAcentral describes it as "partial 16S ribosomal RNA". It matches the Rfam family "Bacterial small subunit ribosomal RNA", at positions 338 to 795 of the family's 1533-position model. The record is from RNAcentral.